Molecule: ribosomal RNA, 53 nt
Filed under: Phaeoacremonium inflatipes
Lineage: Eukaryota; Fungi; Ascomycota; Sordariomycetes; Togniniales; Togniniaceae
Description: partial 18S ribosomal RNA
Rfam family: Eukaryotic small subunit ribosomal RNA
Source: RNAcentral
GGAAGUAAAAGUCGUAACAAGGUCUCCGUUGGUGAACCAGCGGAGGGAUCAUA